AGAGGGUUGGGGUUAGGGUAGGGUUAGGGGUUGGGGUAGGGUUAGGGGUUGGAGUAGGGUUAGAAUUGGGGUAGGGUAACCCAAACCCUAUUCCCAACCCUACCAUAACCCUAACUGUACUCCUAACCCUACCCUACCCCUAACCCUACCACUAGCCUUACCCCUAACCCUACUCCUAAACCAGCCCUAACCCUACCCCUAAUCUAACCCUACCCAUAACCCUACCCCUUACCCUACCCUAACCCUCU
Non-coding RNA from Pelobates cultripes (western spadefoot toad), 248 nucleotides. NCBI's taxonomy places the organism in Eukaryota, Metazoa, Chordata, Amphibia, Anura, Pelobatidae. The record is from the annotation of a GenBank genome assembly.